Molecule: ribosomal RNA, 232 nt
Filed under: uncultured bacterium
Lineage: Bacteria
Description: partial 16S ribosomal RNA
Rfam family: Bacterial small subunit ribosomal RNA
Source: RNAcentral
CGGGUGAGUAACGCGUGAGGAACCUGCCUCAAAGAGGGGACAACAGUUGGAAACGACUGCUAAUACCGCAUAAGCCCACGGCUCGGCAUCGAGCAGAGGGAAAAGGAGUGAUCCGCUUUGAGAUGGCCUCGCGUCCGAUUAGCUAGUUGGUGAGGUAACGGCCCACCAAGGCAACGAUCGGUAGCCGGACUGAGAGGUUGAACGGCCACAUUGGGACUGAGACACGGCCCAG